Orbicella faveolata is the source of this 1114-nucleotide long non-coding RNA. The record is from RefSeq and is a predicted model, not a curated record. NCBI's taxonomy places the organism in Eukaryota, Metazoa, Cnidaria, Anthozoa, Scleractinia, Merulinidae.
GCAAGCUUACAUGUUUUGUUGAUAAGAUGGAACGCGUUUACAAUCUGGUGCUAAUUAACUGGUAAUCAUCGACUGAACUAAUUGAGACUGUCAAGCACGUGCUUCCGAUUUCUAUUAUUCCUAGAUUCCCUGAAUCACGCGACUUAAAAAUAGGAUAAACUGUCAAACACUUAAAUUGGAACUUUCAUGACAUGCUCCAUGUUUUUAAAAAGAUCAUAAAUGGCAUUGAUCUUUAACCUGAAAGUCAAGCACAUAAGGGCGAAAUCUACUGACCUUCCAAAAUACCGAAAUCGCCAAUUUCAUAACCCGAAGAAUUCAUCGUAGUCAGGUAACUCUUCGCCAGUGUUAUCUUUCCUCUGUCUCCCACCCCCCGGUUGAAUAACUGUUGGUGGAAGAAGAAGGAGGGCCAACCUGCCUAAAUUGACUUUCAAUUUGUUGUGUCUUUUUUCCUCUUUUCCUCCUUUAGACCUGAUCAUGAAGUGCACGGCAGUCCGUUAUUGGGUGGUGAUUUACAAGAUAUCAAAGAACCUAAUAUCGUGGUAGCGUUUGGCUGUUGCCCUCAAUCGAGUGUCUUUGAGUGUGAACAGGAGAAGAAUGGUUUCUUUGCCAAACACCUUCUUAAGAAUAUCACAGAUGAACACAGAAACAAAUCCAUCGAAGAAGUUCUGCUAGAAGUUAGUCGCGGAAUACACGAAGAAAAUCUGAAAGACCCUUACACAGAUCAAAAGCAAGUUGUAAAUAGAAUAACCACUUUAGUCAAACCCAUGAGUCUUUGGAGCCCAGUGAAUAGCAGUUCAAUGAAUCCUUCUGCCGUAGAAGCAACUGCAAGAUGGCAAACUGCUCAUGGUAAGCUGAAAAUGAGAGCACUUAGUUGCUUAUCAACUUGAAGUUUACAAAGGUUUUAAUACUGACCGCCAUAGCCUCAACUUCCAGUUGAUGAUCAACUAAUUAGUCUUUUACUCGCACGUUGACGCAGUGCAACAGUUUCUUUAGAAACUAAUCACUCCCUAAUGACUCUCGUGAAACCAAAAGCAAAGUUUUUAGAGCAGUUUUCGCUUGAAUGUCGAAUGUAACUUUCAUUUGCGUUGGUUUGCAUUACUACGCUACGCAAUUG